UCUGAUGAUCAAGCACAGGUGUCCAAGAAAGUGAAACUGCCCCCAGAGCGCCCCGUCAAUGAAGAGAACUAAUUAAAUGCCCAAUGUCUCAGCCAUAGAGGCCAUACAUCAAAAAUAUAUUGGACCCACAAUAUCAAGCAAUUUAUAUCAUUCAACCAGUCAAACUUUUAUAACAGUAGGAAAACAUACUAAAAAUAUGAUAGCUCUGGCUUGCCCUGAGUUGGUUUCUUGUGUGGCUCUAAUUUUCAUUCUGGAAUGUUGUGCAGCUGGCUCUGGCACACAGAAUCCUUUGUUUCCCAGCAGGAAGCUACUACACCAUUGUAACUGAACACACUGUGAUGUUCUGGUCACAACUUAUGUUUACCCAAAGCUCAAGGUUACUGAAAGAACAUUCUAGAACUCAAAAGAGAAUCUAAACUUUGUCUUACUAGAUUUGAAAUGUAAAUGUUAUUAAGCUGCACAUCUUACAUAGAUUCACAAG
Molecule: long non-coding RNA, 481 nt
Filed under: Bos taurus (domestic cattle)
Lineage: Eukaryota; Metazoa; Chordata; Mammalia; Artiodactyla; Bovidae
Description: long non-coding RNA NONBTAT002694
Source: RNAcentral